Molecule: RNA transcript, 1972 nt
Organism: Cervus elaphus (red deer)
Lineage: Eukaryota; Metazoa; Chordata; Mammalia; Artiodactyla; Cervidae
Gene name: ubiquitin-associated protein 1-like
Exons: 3
Source: RefSeq, a predicted model, not a curated record
AUGGAGUGCUUACUCAAUACCAGGGGAGGAGCGGUGAGCGGAAGGAGGAGGGAAGUGGGACUUCAACAUGGCGGCUGUGGUACUGUGGUGACUACGGUGACGGUCUGGCCCGGGGCGGGCAGAGUUGGAGGUGGUAGUGUUCCUCUCCCUCGGGGCCGUCAGGAGCUCAGCAGGGACGGAGCCAGGGAGCCCGGUCGGCGGCAGCACCUUUCGGCUCCUGGCAUGGCGGCUGCAGCAUUCAGAUUUUCAUGGGACUUUCAGUUACCUUGAUGAUGUCCCAUUUAAGAUAGGAGACAGAUUCAAAACGCCAGCUAAAGUUGGUCUUCCUAUUGGCUUCUCCUUGUCUGAUUGUUUGCAGGUUGUCCGAGAAGUACAGUAUGACUUCUCCUUGGAAAAGAAAACCAUUGAGUUGGCUGAAGAUAUUAAGAAGAUCCAAGAAGCCCAGUGGGAAGCAGAGCGCAAGGCUGAGGAAGCAGAAGCUAAAGUGAAUUCUCAGAGUGGCCCCGAGGGUGACAGCAAAAUGAGCUCUCCAAGACCCACAGCGCAGCACCAUGCCGCCUCCUAUCAACCCCAUCCUCGCCAGCUUACAGCGCAACAGCAUCCUCACCCCGACUCGGGUCAGCAGCAGUGCCGCGAAGCAGAAGGUUCUCAGCCCGCCCCACGCAAAGGCAGACUUCAAUCCUGCUGACUUCGAGUGUGAAGAAGACCCAUGUGAUAAUCUGGAGUUUAAAACUAUUGAUGAGAAGGAAGAGCUGAGAAACAUUCUGGUGGGAACCAGUGGACCCAUUAUGGCCCAGUUAUUGGACAGUAACUUGCCUCGAGGUGGCUCUGGGUCUGUGUUACAGGAGGAGGAGGUCCUGGCCUCUCUGGAGCGGGCCACCCUAGAUUUCAAGCCUCUUCACAAACCCAAUGGCUUUGUAACCUUACCACAGCUGGGUAGCUGUGAAAAGAUGUCGCUGUCUUCCAAAGUGUCCCUCCCCCCCAUUCCUGCAGUAAGCAAUAUCAAGUCCUUGUCCUUCCCCAAACUUGACUCUGAUAACAGCAGUCAGAAGACACCCAAGAUGGCAAGCACUUUCCAUAGCACAUCCUGCCUCCGCAGUGGCACGUUCCGGAAUUCCCUAAAGCCUUCCACCCAAAGCAGUGCCAGUGAGCUCAAUGAGCAUCCUACCCUUGGGCUUUCAGCUUUGAACUUAGACAGUGGUGCAGAGGUGCCAACCCUGACCCCUCCCCAGACGCCUUCCCUGUCUGUCUUGUCUGUGUGCACAGAAGAAUCAGCACCUCCAAAUACGUGUCCCAUGGUCACACCUCCUAAUUUCUCAGUGUCACAAGUGCCCAACACUCCCAACUGUCCCCAGACUUACUCUGAACUGCAGGCGCUGUCCCCCAGUGAGCGGCACUGUGUGGAGACAGUGGUCAACAUGGGCUACUCAUAUGAGUGUGUCUUGAGAGCCAUGAAGAAGAAAGGAGAGAAUAUUGAGCAGAUUCUUGACUAUCUCUUUGCACAUGGACAGCUCUGUGAGAAGGGCUUUGACCCUCUUUUGGUGGAAGAGGCUCUGGAAAUGCAGCAGUGUUCAGAGGAAAAGAUGAUGGAGUUUCUUCAGCUGAUGAGCAAAUUUAAGGAAAUGGGCUUUGAACUGAAAGGUAUUAAGGAAGUUCUGCUAUUACACAACAACGACCAGGACAAUGCUCUGGAAGACCUCAUGGCAUGGGCGGGAGCCAGCUAAGACGAGGCCCUACCUAGGCCCUGCCAGAGCCACCCCUGCAGGAGGCCCUGAGGAGCCCCCGUGGGGAAGGAGAAGGGGCGCACUUCCGGAUUUCCUUUUGGGGGUGGAAGGUCAGGUGUGGAGACUGUGCUUGCCAAGUCUCUACAAGCUUAGGUCCUGAGCUGGGGAGAGAGUGGGUAAGAUUUGGGCAUGCACAUGCCCCCAGAACUGUCCUGGCUCCUUCCAUAUUAAAAGUAUUUGUAUCCUGA